CCCAGGUGACACCAGAUGUGCUGAAAGUACACACCAUCCUGGAGCCCUAGGCAGUGACAGCAGCAGCAUUGGUAGCAGCAAGGCACGAGUGACCCGGAAGGCAAAAACAGUGACAACAAGGGCACCAAACAGCACCUCUGGCAGAGGCAGUAGAAGGUGAAAAGUGCCAAUACUCAAAAAUAGCCAGAGGCAGCUCAGCACAUGCUGCUUGCAGGAUCUUGGUUCAGGAGCUGGAGAACUGGCCAAAGCUCCUGAAGUGGGAGCUCCAAGUCUGAACCACUGGACUAACAGAGAACCUCAGACCUCAGGGAAUAUUCAUUGGAGUGAGGUCUCCCAGAGGUCCUCAUCUCAGUACCAAGACCCAGCUCUACCCAACAGUCUACAAACUCCAGUGUUGGAAGCCUCAGGCCAAACAACCAGUAAGACAGGAACAUAAUCCCCUUCAUGAAAAAAGGAAAAAAAUGAGACGGCAAAAAAUGUGUCACAGAUGAAGGAGCAAGGUAAAAACCUACAAAACCAAAUUAAUGAAGAGGAAAUAGGCAAUCUACCUGAAAAAGAAUUCAGAGUAAUGAUAGUAAAGAUGAUCCAGAAUCUCAAAAAUAGAAUGGUGACCUGGACUGAGAAAACACAAGAAAUGUAUAACAAAGAUAUAGAAUAACUAAAGAACAAACAGAGAUGAACAACACAAUAAUUGAAAUGAAAAAUACUCUAGAAGGAAUCAAUAACAGAAUAACUGAGGCAGAAGAAUGAAUACAUGAGCUGGAAGACAAAAUGGUAGAAAUAACUAUUGAGGAACAGAAUAAAGAAAAAAAUAAAGAGAAUUGAAGACAAUAUCAGAGAUAUCUGGGACAACACUAAACACACCAACAUUCGAAUUAUAGGGGUCCCAGAAGAAGAAGAGAAAAAGAAGUGUUCUGAGAAAAUAUUGGAAGAGAUUAUAGUGGAAAACUGCCCUAACAUGGGAAAGUAAAUAGUCACCCAAGUCCAGUAAGUGCAGAGAGUCCCAUACAGGAUAAACCCUAGGGGAAACUCACCAAGAAACAUAUUAAUCAAACUAAAAAAAAUUAAAUUCAAAGAAAAAAUAUUAAAAACAGCAAGGGAAAAACAAAAAUUAACAUACAAAGGAAUCCCCAUAAGGUUAUCAGCUGAUUUUUCAGCAGAAACUCUGCAGGCCAAAAGGGACUGGCACGAUAUACUUAAAAUGAUGAAAGAGGAAAACCUACAACCAAGCUUAGUCUACCCAGCAAGGAUCUCAUUCAGAUUCAAUGGAGAAAUCAAAAGCUUUAUGGACAAGCAAAAGCUAAGAGAAUUCAGCAGCACCAAAUCAGCUUUAAAACAAAUGCUAAAGAAACUUUAGGUGGGAAACACAAGAAAAGAAAAUGACCCAGAAAAAAAAAAACC
Globicephala melas (long-finned pilot whale) is the source of this 1401-nucleotide long non-coding RNA. RefSeq lists it as uncharacterized. NCBI's taxonomy places the organism in Eukaryota, Metazoa, Chordata, Mammalia, Artiodactyla, Delphinidae. The record is from RefSeq and is a predicted model, not a curated record.